UGCCAAGCAGCCGCGGUAAUACCAGCUUCCUUAGUCUUUACGAAUGUUGUUGCAGUUAAAAAGCUCGUAGUUGAACUUCUGCGGGGAGCUCCUGGCCCGGCGGCUUUGCCGUUGAGUGCCGGUGCGCUCCUCGCUUUUGUAGUCGGUUUGGCUCGUGGGGGCGUUAAAACCCUUGCGCGCUUCGGCUACCCGUUACUUUGAACAAAUCGGAGUGCUCAAAGCAGGCUAGCGCCUGAACGCACAGCAUGGAAUAACAAGAUAGGACUCUUUCUCUUCUUGUUGGUUCCUGUGAGAGAGUAAUGAUUGAUAGGAACGGAGCGGGGGCGUUUGUAUUCCGUGGCCAGAGGUGAAAUUCUUGGAUUCGCGGAAGACAAACUCAUGCGAAAGCGCUCGCCAAGUACGUCUCCUUUAAUCAAGAGCGAAAGUCUGGGGAUCGAAGAUGAUCAGAUACCAUCGUAGUCCAGACCGUAAACGAUGCCAGCCCGCGAUCGGACGGACUCGAUUAUGACUCGUUCGGCAGCGUGAGGGAAACUAGAGCUUUUGGGUUCUGGGGGGAAUAUGGUCGCAAGGCUGAAACUUAAAGAAAUUGACGGAAGGGCACCACCAGGAGUGGAACCUGCGGCUUAAUUUGACUCAACACGGGAAAACUCACCAGGGCAGGACACAGUGAGGAUUGACAAGCUGAAGACUUUUCUUGAUUCUGUGGAUGGUGGUGCAUGGCCGUUCUUAGUUGGUGGAGUGAUUUGUCUGGUUUAUUCCGUUAACGAACGAGACCUCGAUUUGCUAAAUAGCGUCCGUCAUUUUCGGAUGGCGCGAAGCUUCUUAGAGAGACUGCUGGUGUGGAGCCAGAGGAAGUUCGAGGCAAUAACAGGUCUGUGAUGCCCAAGG
Molecule: ribosomal RNA, 888 nt
Filed under: uncultured eukaryote
Lineage: Eukaryota
Description: bacterial SSU rRNA
Rfam family: Eukaryotic small subunit ribosomal RNA
Source: RNAcentral